GCGUCCGUAGCUCAGCGGUAGAGCAGCCGGCUCAUAACCGGUCGGUCGCAGGUUCGAACCCUGCCGGGCGCACCA
This 75-nucleotide transfer RNA is filed under the name bacterium. Its description in RNAcentral is "tRNA-Ile". It matches the Rfam family "tRNA". From Rfam's summary of the family: Transfer RNA (tRNA) molecules are approximately 80 nucleotides in length. The record is from RNAcentral.